RNAcentral lists this ribosomal RNA (239 nucleotides) under uncultured bacterium. Its description in RNAcentral is "partial 16S ribosomal RNA". It matches the Rfam family "Bacterial small subunit ribosomal RNA", at positions 15 to 263 of the family's 1533-position model. The record is from RNAcentral.
GAUCCUGGCUCAGGAUGAACGCUGGCGGCGUGCCUAACACAUGCAAGUCGAGCGAUUCUCUUCGGAGAAGAGCGGCGGACGGGUGAGUAACGCGUGGGUAACCUGCCCUAUACACACGGAUAACAUACCGAAAGGUAUGCUAAUACGAGAUAACAUAAGAGAUUCGCAUGGAUUUCUUAUCAAAGCUUUUGCGGUAUAGGAUGGACCCGCGUCUGAUUAGCUAGUUGGUGAGGUAACAG